This 77-nucleotide transfer RNA is filed under the name Providencia stuartii. Its description in RNAcentral is "tRNA-Met". It matches the Rfam family "tRNA". Rfam says of the family: Transfer RNA (tRNA) molecules are approximately 80 nucleotides in length. Their secondary structure includes four short double-helical elements and three loops (D, anti-codon, and T loops). Lineage: Bacteria; Pseudomonadati; Pseudomonadota; Gammaproteobacteria; Enterobacterales; Morganellaceae. The record is from RNAcentral.
CGCGGGAUGGAGCAGCCUGGUAGCUCGUCGGGCUCAUAACCCGAAGGUCGUUGGUUCAAAUCCGGCCCCCGCAACCA